CCCCUAGAUGUUCUGGGCCGCACGCGCGCUACACUGAACAGUUCAACAAGUCUUAACCUUGGCCGAUAGGUCUGGGUAAUCUUUGAACGCUGUUCGUGAUUGGGAUAGACCUUUGCAAUUAUGGGUCUUCAGCGAGGAAUUCCUAGUAAACGCAAGUCAUCAGCUUGCAUUGAUUACGUCCCUGCCCUUUGUACACACCGCCCGUCGCACCUACCGAUUGAAUGGUCCGGUGAAAUCUCGGGACGGCGGCUUGGUCGCUUGCGUCCGACUGCUGAAACUUGAUUAAACCAUAUCAUUUAGAGGAAGGUGAAGUCGUAACA
RNAcentral lists this ribosomal RNA (320 nucleotides) under uncultured eukaryote. RNAcentral's name for it is "partial 18S ribosomal RNA". It matches the Rfam family "Eukaryotic small subunit ribosomal RNA", at positions 1470 to 1796 of the family's 1831-position model. The record is from RNAcentral.